AUUGAACGCUGGCGGCAGGCCUAACACAUGCAAGUCGAGCGGAGCGGCGGACGGGUGAGUAAUGCAUAGGAAUCUGCCUGGUAGCGGGGGAUAACGUCCGCAACCGGGCGCUAAUACCGCAUACUCUCAGAUGAGCCUAGGUCGGAUUAGUUAGUGGGUGGGGUAAAGGUCUACCAAGGCGACGAUCCGUAACUGGUCUGAGAGUAAGAUCAGUCAAAAUGGAACUGAGACACGGUCCAGACUCCUACGGGAGGCAGCAGUGGGGAAUAUUGGACAAUUGGCGAAAGCCUGAUCCAGCCAUGCCGCGUGGGUGAAGAAGGUCGUCGGAUUGUAAAGCACUUUAAGUUGGGAGGCGUUACCAACAGAAUAAGCACCGGCUAACUUCGUGCCAGCAGCCGCGGUAAUUC
Molecule: ribosomal RNA, 407 nt
Filed under: uncultured bacterium
Lineage: Bacteria
Description: partial 16S ribosomal RNA
Rfam family: Bacterial small subunit ribosomal RNA
Source: RNAcentral